Molecule: microRNA precursor, 93 nt
Filed under: Chlorocebus sabaeus (green monkey)
Lineage: Eukaryota; Metazoa; Chordata; Mammalia; Primates; Cercopithecidae
Description: miRNA (ENSCSAG00000022343.1)
Source: RNAcentral
AUAUCAAUUAGGUUGGUGUAAAACUAAUUGUGGCUUUUGCCAUUACUUUUAUGACAAAAACUGUAAUUACCUUUGCAUCAACCUAAUAUUUAA